AAAGAUUAAGCCAUGCAUGUGUAAGUACACACCUUCCUUUUGGCGAAACCGCAAACGGCUCAUUAAAUCAGUCAUAAUUUAUUGGAUGGUGCUGAUCCUUUACUCGGAUAACCGUGGCAAUUCUAGAGCUAAUACGUGCAACUGAGCUCCGACCUCGUGGCGCCUAACGGCGUUGCGAGGGAAGGGCGCAAUUAUUAGAAUCAUAAACCGAGCGGGCUCUCGAGUCCGUCCAAACAAUCGGCUAUGAUGACUCUGGAUAACUUUGCCGAGCGAUUAGGCCUUCGAGCCGUCGCUGCAUCUUUCGAGUGACUGCCUUAUCAGCUUUCGAUUGUAGGCUAUACGCUUACGAUGGCUGUAACGGGUAACGGGGAAUCAGGGUUCGAUUCCGGAGAGGGAGCCUGAGAAACGGCUACCACAUCUAAGGAAGGCAGCAGGCACGCAAAUUACCCACUCCCGGCACGGGGAGGUAGUGACGAUAAAUAACGAUGCGGGACUCUUCCGAGGCCUCGCAAUCGGAAUGAGUUCACUCUAAAACCUUGGACGAGGAUCCAUUGGAGGGCAAGUCUGGUGCCAGCAGCCGCGGUAAUUCCAGCUCCAAUAGCGUAUAUUAAAGCUGCUGCGGUUAAAAAGCUCGUAGUUGGCUGUUCGAUCUGUACCGGCGGCCCACCCAAGGCGCUAACCCCACAAAGAUUUCCUAUCGGUUAGGGAGUGACGUUCGGCGCAGUUCUUUUCGCUCGUUCCGACCCUCGCACGCACGCCGCGCUCGCUCGUUUCGGUGCCGGGGCUCGUUCCCCCAUCCGUGCGACGAUAACGUGGUGGUGGUGCUUGACGUCGGCGACGUUAUCCUACGUCCGAUUUCGUUAAACCCGCCGGGGACGUCUAGUGGCUAUUAAGCGCCCGGUGGUCAACCCGUUCGGAUACGGAUUUGUCAAAAUACGCCGGCUCUCACGGGGUGCUCUUUACCGAGUGUCUCGCGUGGCCGACGACGUUCACUUUGAAAAAAUUAGAGUGCUCAAAGCAGGCAUAAAUCUUCGCCUGAAUUAUGAUGCAUGGAAUGAUGGAAUAGGACCUCGGUUCUUUGUUUUUUCUCUCGGUUUUUCCCGGAACCCGAGGUAAUGAUUAACGGGGACGGACGGGGGCAUUAGUAUUGCGACGCUAGAGGUGAAAUUCUUGGACCGUCGCAAGACUAACUACUGCGAAAGCAUUUGCCAAGAACGCUCUCAUUAAUCAAGAACGAAAGUUAGAGGAUCGAAGGCGAUCAGAUACCGCCCUAGUUCUAACCUUAAACGAUGCUGACUAGCGAUCCGCUUAAGUCAUUCCCACGACUGAGCGGGCGGCCCCCGGGAAACCGAAGUUUUUGGGUUCCGGGGGAAGUAUGGUUGCAAAGCUGAAACUUAAAGGAAUUGACGGAAGGGCACCACCAGGAGUGGAGCCUGCGGCUUAAUUUGACUCAACACGGGAAACCUCACCAGGCCCAGACACCGGAAGGAUUGACAGAUUGAGAGCUCUUUCUCGAUUCGGUGGUUGGUGGUGCAUGGCCGUUCUUAGUUGGUGGAGCGAUCUGUCUGGUUGAUUCCGAUAACGAACGAGACUCUACCCUGCUAACUAGUGGAUGGAUCGUUUCCCGAGACGGGUCUCCUUCCGGGGCGGUUUCUCGCGCGGGGCUCUUUGGCGUUCCGCUCGUGCCUUAAUUCUACCUCUCACGCUCAAGAGGCGUCCGCGCUGGCGACGAUGUCGUUCUUUUUCCUUUCGAGGGGCGAGGGCGCUCGACGUCAGCGUUAGGACGCGUCCGGCGCGGGUCGCUAGGGCUUUGGUAUCGAUGAGCGUCAUUCCUCGCGUUCGCCGUUUUCCCGUGAAGGGCCCAACGAGGGGCGUCCAUCCUAACGUCUUCUUAGAGGGAUCGGCGGCGUCUAGCCGCACGAGAGAGAGCAAUAACAGGUCUGUGAUGCCCUUAGAUGUUCUGGGCCGCACGCGCGCUACAAUGCAGGGCGCAGCGUGCUCUCCCCCUCCGAAAGGAGUGGGUAACCCAAUGAAACCCCUUCCCGAUUGGGAUUGGGGCUUGCAAGUGUUUCCCAUGAACGAGGAAUUCCCAGUAAGCGUAAGUCAUUAGCUUGCGAUGAUUACGUCCCUGCCCUUUGUACACACCGCCCGUCGCUACUACCGAUUGAAUGAUUCAGUGAGGGCGUCGGACCAGCGCCCUCGGCAGCUUUCGGCUCGAUCGUUCCGUUCAAAGGCUUCUCUUUUCCCAUUCUUCUUCCCGUCCUUAACUUCGGUGCGGAGGGUCGGUCUAAGGGUUAAGAAAGUUUGGAACCGACCGAAAAGGCGCCCCGGGUACGCCGGGAAGACGUCCGAACUUGAUCAUUUAGAGGAAGUAAAAGUCGUAACAAGGUUGCCGUAGGUGAC
RNAcentral lists this ribosomal RNA (2403 nucleotides) under Amphoroidea typa. RNAcentral describes it as "bacterial SSU rRNA". It matches the Rfam family "Eukaryotic small subunit ribosomal RNA". Lineage: Eukaryota; Metazoa; Arthropoda; Malacostraca; Isopoda; Sphaeromatidae. The record is from RNAcentral.